RNAcentral lists this transfer RNA (74 nucleotides) under Methanobacteriota archaeon. Its description in RNAcentral is "Euryarchaeota archaeon tRNA-Arg". It matches the Rfam family "tRNA". Rfam says of the family: Transfer RNA (tRNA) molecules are approximately 80 nucleotides in length. The record is from RNAcentral. RNAcentral also lists the same sequence under 1 other name. Lineage: Archaea; Methanobacteriati; Methanobacteriota.
GGGCAAUUGGGGUAGUCUGGAUAUCCUUUCGGCCUUCGGAGCCGAACACGUGGGUUCGAAUCCUGCAUUGCCCG